This 379-nucleotide long non-coding RNA is filed under the name Homo sapiens (human). Its description in RNAcentral is "RGMB antisense RNA 1". The record is from RNAcentral. Lineage: Eukaryota; Metazoa; Chordata; Mammalia; Primates; Hominidae.
UUCCUCGCGCCCAACAGAAAUGGGCGACCGCAAGUCUUACUCUCGCCGGCGUUACAAAGUGAGGAAAAAGACAAUUGUCUACAAAGAAAGAGGCUGCCAAGUGGAGACAGAAAAGCAGUUAUGAGACUGAUGAUAGAUUCCAAUUUGUUAUCGAAAGGAAGGAGGAGACCUGAACAGUACAUCCGGAGAAUCCAGCAAAGCAUACUACGGCAUGAACGUGCAAGUGGACAGAAUUAAAACACAUGCCAGAAACACUAAUGGAUUCUAAACAAGAUGCAGUUUCAUUUCCUGAGCCUAUACGUGAUGUUUUUAACUGUUCUCCAGUUAAUAUGUCUCCAUUUCCAGAAAUCUAACAGGAGAAUCUCUGACUGCUUAACAG